This 253-nucleotide ribosomal RNA is filed under the name uncultured bacterium. RNAcentral's name for it is "partial 16S ribosomal RNA". It matches the Rfam family "Bacterial small subunit ribosomal RNA", at positions 524 to 776 of the family's 1533-position model. The record is from RNAcentral.
UACAGAGGGUGCGAGCGUUAAUCGGAAUUACUGGGCGUAAAGCGUGCGUAGCCGGUUACGUAAGUCGGGUGUGAAAGCCCCGGGCUCAACCUGGGAAUUGCAUUCGAGACUGCGCAGCUAGGGUGCGGAAGAGGGAAGCGGAAUUUCCGGUGUAGCGGUGAAAUGCGUAGAUAUCGUUUGGAACGCCAAUGGUGAAAACAGGUAACUGGGAGUGCGCUGACGCUGAGACACGAAAGCCAGGGGAGCGAACGGG